This 466-nucleotide ribosomal RNA is filed under the name uncultured bacterium. RNAcentral describes it as "partial 16S ribosomal RNA". It matches the Rfam family "Bacterial small subunit ribosomal RNA", at positions 28 to 507 of the family's 1533-position model. The record is from RNAcentral.
GAUGAACGCUGGCGGCGUGCUUAACACAUGCAAGUCGAACGAUGAAGCCCAGCUUGCUGGGUGGAUUAGUGGCGAACGGGUGAGUAACACGUGAGUAACCUGCCCUUAACUCUGGGAUAAGCCUGGGAAACUGGGUCUAAUACCGGAUAGGAGCGUCCACCGCAUGGUGGGUGUUGGAAAGAUUUAUCGGUUUUGGAUGGACUCGCGGCCUAUCAGCUUGUUGGUGAGGUAAUGGCUCACCAAGGCGACGACGGGCAGCCGGCCUGAGAGGGUGACCGGCCACACUGGGACUGAGACACGGCCCAGACUCCUACGGGAGGCAGCAGUGGGGAAUAUUGCACAAUGGGCGCAAGCCUGAUGCAGCGACGCCGCGUGAGGGAUGACGGCCUUCGGGUUGUAAACCUCUUUCAGUAGGGAAGAAGCGAAAGUGACGGUACCUGCAGAAGAAGCACCGGCUAACUACGUG